Molecule: ribosomal RNA, 465 nt
Filed under: Vreelandella stevensii
Lineage: Bacteria; Pseudomonadati; Pseudomonadota; Gammaproteobacteria; Oceanospirillales; Halomonadaceae
Description: partial 16S ribosomal RNA
Rfam family: Bacterial small subunit ribosomal RNA
Source: RNAcentral
CCUACGGGAGGCAGCAGUGGGGAAUAUUGGACAAUGGGCGAAAGCCUGAUCCCGCCAUGCCGCGUGUGUGAAGAAGGCCUUCGGGUUGUAAAGCACUUUCAGUGGGGAAGAAAGCCUUGGGGCUAAUACCCUCGAGGAAGGACAUCACCCACAGAAGAAGCACCGGCUAACUCCGUGCCAGCAGCCGCGGUAAUACGGAGGGUGCGAGCGUUAAUCGGAAUUACUGGGCGUAAAGCGCGCGUAGGCGGUCUGAUAAGCCGGUUGUGAAAGCCCCGGGCUCAACCUGGGAACGGCAUCCGGAACUGUCAGGCUAGAGUGCAGGAGAGGAAGGUAGAAUUCCCGGUGUAGCGGUGAAAUGCGUAGAGAUCGGGAGGAAUACCAGUGGCGAAGGCGGCCUUCUGGACUGACACUGACGCUGAGGUGCGAAAGCGUGGGUAGCAAACAGGAUUAGAUACCCCAGUAGUC